CAGCAGCCGCGGUAAUACGAAGGGUGCAAGCGUUAAUCGGAAUUACUGGGCGUAAAGCGUGCGUAGGCGGUGAGUUAAGUCUGCUGUGAAAUCCCCGGGCUCAACCUGGGAAUUGCAGUGGAUACUGGGUCACUAGAGUGUGGUAGAGGAUAGUGGAAUUUCCGGUGUAGCAGUGAAAUGCGUAGAGAUCGGAAGGAACAUCUGUGGCGAAGGCGACUAUCUGGGCCAACACUGACACUGAGGCACGAAAGCGUGGGGAGCAAACAGGAUUAGAUACCCCCGUAGUCCCUGUCUCUUAUAA
Molecule: ribosomal RNA, 301 nt
Filed under: uncultured bacterium
Lineage: Bacteria
Description: partial 16S ribosomal RNA
Rfam family: Bacterial small subunit ribosomal RNA
Source: RNAcentral